GGCCAGACUCCUACGGGAGGCAGCAGUGAGGAAUAUUGGUCAAUGGGCGCGAGCCUGAACCAGCCAAGUCGCGUGAGGGAUGACGGUCCUACGGAUUGUAAACCUCUUUUGCCGGGGAGCAAGCGUGCGUUCGUGAACGCGCGUCGAGAGUACCCGGAGAAAAAGCAUCGGCUAACUCCGUGCCAGCAGCCGCGGUAAUACGGAGGAUGCGAGCGUUAUCCGGAUUUAUUGGGUUUAAAGGGUGCGUAGGCGGGCUUUUAAGUCAGCGGUAAAAAUUCGGGGCUCAACCCCGUCCGGCCGUUGAAACUGGGGGACUUGAGUGGGCGAGAAGAAGGCGGAAUGCGUGGUGUAGCGGUGAAAUGCAUAGAUAUCACGCAGAACUCCGAUUGCGAAGGCAGCAUACCGGCGCCCAACUGACGCUGAAGCACGAAAGCGUGGGUAUCGAACAGGAUUAGAUACCCGAGUAUG
RNAcentral lists this ribosomal RNA (468 nucleotides) under uncultured bacterium. RNAcentral describes it as "partial 16S ribosomal RNA". It matches the Rfam family "Bacterial small subunit ribosomal RNA", at positions 329 to 794 of the family's 1533-position model. The record is from RNAcentral.